This 461-nucleotide long non-coding RNA is filed under the name Phasianus colchicus (ring-necked pheasant). Its description in RNAcentral is "lncRNA (ENSPCLG00000020943.1)". Lineage: Eukaryota; Metazoa; Chordata; Aves; Galliformes; Phasianidae. The record is from RNAcentral.
AAGACUUCAGCCCAAUUCUGUAUUCCUUUCUGAGGAAAUCUCUGGGAAGAGUACUACUACUUGAUUUCCCUUCUAGAAACCUUUAUUUUAAACACUAAGAAAUCUCUUCAUUUGUCUGUUGUUUUUUUUUCUUUCUCGUAGGUUGUUACAAAGCUAAGCUGCAAAUAUAGAAAUGGAAUACUUGUGAGUACAAUGUAUUUUAAUACUUAGAGCCUCAGUCACAAAACUAGAUCCACAGAGUUCUUUCAGGUUCCUAUCUGUGCUCAUUCAUGAUGAGUGAGGAAAUAACCACCAGAUAUCUGAUGGCCAGGUAUAGAGUUGUAUAGACCUGAAAAACUCAAUUUGCUCUGAAAUGUUUGCUACCAAAGGGAACUUUUCAGAUAGUUCAGAGGCUGUGGACAGUAAUAGUUACAGGUGCCACUGUGAUCCCUUAUCAGCUAUACUCCAUGCUCAACUGUGUG